This 468-nucleotide ribosomal RNA is filed under the name uncultured bacterium. RNAcentral's name for it is "partial 16S ribosomal RNA". It matches the Rfam family "Bacterial small subunit ribosomal RNA", at positions 28 to 507 of the family's 1533-position model. The record is from RNAcentral.
GACGAACGCUGGCGGCGUGCUUAACACAUGCAAGUCGAACGGAAAGGCCCUGCUUUUGUGGGGUUCUCGAGUGGCGAACGGGUGAGUAACACGUGAGUAACCUGCCCUUGACUUUGGGAUAACUUCAGGAAACUGGGGCUAAUACCUGAUAUGAUCUCCUGCUGCAUGGUGUGGGUUGGAAAGUUUCGGCGGUUGGGGAUGUACUCGCGGCUUAUCAGCUUGUUGGUGUGGUAGUUGCUUACCAAGGCUUUGACGGGUAGCUGGCCUGAGAGGGUGACCGGGGAAAUUGGGACUGAGAUACGGCCCAGAAUCGAAAGGGAGGCAGCAGGGGGGAAUAUUGCACAAUGGGAGGAAGCCUGAUGAAGAAACGCGGCGUGCGGGAUGACGGCCUUCGGGUGGUAAACAGAUUUCGAAUGUGACGAAGAGGGAGUGACGGUAAUGGGUAAAGAAGCACCGGCUAACUACGUG